RNAcentral lists this signal recognition particle RNA (146 nucleotides) under Chlorocebus sabaeus (green monkey). RNAcentral describes it as "Metazoan signal recognition particle RNA". It matches the Rfam family "Metazoan signal recognition particle RNA". Rfam says of the family: The signal recognition particle (SRP) is a universally conserved ribonucleoprotein. It is involved in the co-translational targeting of proteins to membranes. Lineage: Eukaryota; Metazoa; Chordata; Mammalia; Primates; Cercopithecidae. The record is from Rfam by way of RNAcentral.
GCCGGGCGUGAUGGCACGUGCCUGUAAUCCCGCUACUCGGAGGCUGAGGCAGGGGAAUCGCUUGAACCCAGGAAGCGGAGGUUGCAGUGAGCCGAGAUCGUGCCACUGCACUCCAGCCUGGGUGACAAAGUGAGACUCUGUCUCCU